This is a long non-coding RNA of Ostrinia nubilalis (European corn borer), 836 nucleotides long. RefSeq lists it as uncharacterized. The record is from RefSeq and is a predicted model, not a curated record. The transcript has 3 exons. Lineage: Eukaryota; Metazoa; Arthropoda; Insecta; Lepidoptera; Crambidae.
UUGAGACACGAUAAAAAUGAAAUUAAAUAAUAAUAUGAAAAAUAAAUUAAAUGUCAAUACAAAAGAAUCUAUGGUCAGAUGUGCGCGGCCAAAGUGACGAGUCGACGGGCCGUGACUGCUAUAAAGGAGAAAAAAGGGAAAAUGACACUUCUGCCGCCACGUCAAAUCAGCCACGCAGCAUCCAAAUGUCAUUACAGUCACAAUUUGCAAUAAUUAAAAUAAAUAUCAGGAUUCUAUGAUUAGUUUAAAUAAAUAAAUGGAUUAAAUCAUCGAGAUUUCACACUCGGAGUCGUGAACGUGAUGGGUACUCAUCAAGGGAAAAAAUACAAUCGCGAAACCAUGGCAUCCGAGCAUCCCCAGAGCACGACUCAAAAAAGCUUAAAGAAAAAAGGGAAGGGAACCACGAAGAGCAACGUUAUCAAUGACGGAACGGCACGCCAAUAUCCGCAUGCACGGCGUGCGUACUCAGAUGAGCACGCAACGGCGGGGGCAGGUCGUUCCAACAUCGAGACGCUGCAAAUCUAAACGAGCCUCGAAAUGCCGAUGUGCGAUGCCUCGGUGUAAGGAAGACGUGAGUAAUCACUCUUCUUUCAUGCUCAUUUCUACUAGGGGCCUGGGCUAGCUUGUCCAAGAGAUAUUUUGGCCGCCCUGUGCUGAUAACUCCAAACAACAUUGUCGCUAGGUGCAGCCUUCUACGGGCCUCCAUCUUCAUCAGAUUGGCAGUAAUGAGGAAAGGUGUAACAUGAGAUCGUGGUGGGAUAUGGAAGCAGAAGCGGGCACAUGCAUUUUGUACUCGUUGCAAUAAUUUAGCAGAACUUGCCAACAAACACGGCCCA